Long non-coding RNA from Oncorhynchus keta (chum salmon), 169 nucleotides. RefSeq lists it as uncharacterized. The record is from RefSeq and is a predicted model, not a curated record. The transcript has 3 exons. NCBI's taxonomy places the organism in Eukaryota, Metazoa, Chordata, Actinopteri, Salmoniformes, Salmonidae.
CAAUAGGUUGUUUACUGACAAUAGGUUGUUUACUGACAGUUGUUUACUGACAAUAGGUUGUUUACUGACAGUUGUUUACUGACAAUAGGUUGUUUACUGACAGUUGUUUACUGACAAUAGGUUGUUUACUGACAAUAGGUUGUUUACUGACAAUAGGUUGUUUACUGAC